GCGGGCGUAGUGCAGUGGCAGCACGCCAUCCUUCCCGGAUGGAAGCGUUGGUUCGAUUCCAGCCGCCCGCUCCA
Molecule: transfer RNA, 74 nt
Filed under: Propionibacteriaceae bacterium
Lineage: Bacteria; Bacillati; Actinomycetota; Actinomycetes; Propionibacteriales; Propionibacteriaceae
Description: tRNA-Gly
Rfam family: tRNA
About the family: Transfer RNA (tRNA) molecules are approximately 80 nucleotides in length.
Source: RNAcentral